Molecule: ribosomal RNA, 497 nt
Filed under: uncultured bacterium
Lineage: Bacteria
Description: partial 16S ribosomal RNA
Rfam family: Bacterial small subunit ribosomal RNA
Source: RNAcentral
GAUGAACGCUGGCGGCGUGCCUAAUACAUGCAAGUCGAGCGAACAGAUGAGGAGCUUGCUCCUCUGACGUUAGCGGCGGACGGGUGAGUAACACGUGGAUAACCUACCUAUAAGACUGGGAUAACUUCGGGAAACCGGAGCUAAUACCGGAUAAUAUAUUGAACCGCAUGGUUCAAUAGUGAAAGACGGUUUUGCUAUCACUUAUAGAUGGAUCCGCGCCGCAUUAGCUAGUUGGUAAGGUAACGGCUUACCAAGGCAACGAUGCGUAGCCGACCUGAGAGGGUGAUCGGCCACACUGGAACUGAGACACGGUCCAGACUCCUACGGGAGGCAGCAGUAGGGAAUCUUCCGCAAUGGGCGAAAGCUUGACGGAGCAACGCCGCGUGAGUGAUGAAGGUCUUCGGAUCGUAAAACUCUGUUAUUAGGGAAGAACAAAUGUGUAAGUAACUAUGCACGUCCUGACGGUACCUAAUCAGAAAGCCACGGCUAACUACGUG